Coffea arabica (coffee) is the source of this 3391-nucleotide non-coding RNA. NCBI's taxonomy places the organism in Eukaryota, Viridiplantae, Streptophyta, Magnoliopsida, Gentianales, Rubiaceae. The record is from RefSeq and is a predicted model, not a curated record.
CUUGAUUUUAAUAGUUUAAAAUAAUUAGGUAAUAAUGUUAAAUGUUAAUAGGAAUUCUCACGUUAAGUCGAAAACCAAUAAAACUUGAGAUAAACACGAUUCAAACAUGCUAAACGUACUUAAGGCGUGAAAAUUUCAAUAAUUAAAGCCUUGCAAGGUUAGAGUAUUAUUAGGCGUUCAAAUUACACUUGGGGUUAAUUUUUGGACGUAAGUUAGAACCAAGGACUCACGUGGAGGUUAGGAGGACAAGUGAAUUGACUAAAUCACCCUCCACUACCUCACAAAUUACCAUGCAAACCCAUCAAAAUUUCCGGACAGCAUUAUGGUCAACCACCCUACUCGCCAAUGAAAAACUUUCACCAUUCCUACACUCAACCUCCUUCUCCAAAACCGCGGCACCAUCUCUCUUCCUCUUCACUCUUAUAUCACAAACCAUCACCAUUUCCAUUUCCUCUGCCUUAGACCGAGAAUAAAUGAGAGAGAAAACCUUGUGAGCCACCACCUUGUAAUCAUCGACCAAGGAGAGCUGUCCGCGAGCUGCAAAUUUUUUUCUGUUCUGUCCGCGAGCUGAGGGAAGAGACCAAGAGACCAUCGUCUGAGAACAACCGCUCCUGCAUUUUUUUUUCCUCUCCUAGCUGUGGCCAUCUUCAAUUCCAACCAAGUCGCAUUUCAUCAGUCCCAGCUGCAGCUUCAACCAGAAUCAGAACCGUACGUGAGAGCCGAGAGGAAGAAAGAAAAAUCAGAUUUCUUGUGCGUAGGCUUAGCUGGUAACUGAGAAAGUGAUUGCUUGAUGUCCAGAGCUAAUGAUUGACGAAGCUCUUGGCCAUUUGAAUGAUUUUAUAGGUAUUAAAGGGUGAUGAAAUUUAAUUGUUGGAAUUGCUUGGAGGCCUUACAUUUAUUUUGAUUUAGUUAAGAUAUGAUAUGAGCUUGCCAAAACCAAGUGCUAAUGAUUGACGAAGCCUUGGUCAUUUAUUUUAUUCUUGAUCAGAAAUGAAUCUAUCGAAAACUAGGGCUAAUGAUUGAUGAAGCCCUAGUGACUUGCUAUUGAAAUGUGAUUUUGAUGUGGUGGCAAACCUGAGCUAUAGUGUGAAUUCGAAGUGGCAAAAUUUACGAGAUAAUGCGUUGUGAAUCGGAAUAAGAAAUCCGUUUAAUUCCUAGAUUUGAGAAAGUUUCAAUUAAGCUAUUUAAAUAUAUCCUCGUGCUAGUAUGGAGCAAGAACACUUAGUAUUGUCUAUUAACGCCAAAAACUUUGUGUAGGGAUUUUGCCCUAAACUUUGUCAACUCAACAUUUUAUUUUACUUCCUUUAACUAAACUAGCCAAUGACUUUUCUAGCUCUAAAACCCUAGGUUUUGUUUUACUUCAUUUCUUAUCUCUAAAAAAUUGUUCUUGGCUAGUUGACUAUAGGAAAAGUUCCAAGAUACGAGUUUUAAUAAUUUUAAUUAAAAAUAUAGAAACUUGCUCGGCAAGAAACUUUAUUCUAGGUAAAAUAACUUUAGUGACAAUUUUUGCAAGAAACGUAACUUCAAAGAAAUGUUUCAAAGUAUAUUUCUAGCUUUGAUAUUAAGUGGUUUGCUGACUUAUUCAAGAAAAUAAUAUUAGUUACCCUUUUAUAUGGAAAAGUAUCUCAAGGAAAAACUACAAGAAACAUUUUCACUACUUUUGUCAAGCUUCAACCCAAGUAGAUUGUUGAAAUUACUUUGAGAAGGUUAUCUAGUAAAAUACUAGAUAAUCCACAAUACGUACAAGCUUAAAAAUUGAAUAGAGAACUUAUAGUUUCAAAUUUUGGUUUUUAGGAUAUUGCGAGGACGCGGAAUUCGAUUUCCAAUUUGAUAUCUGAACUUCACUCUUGGUUAAUGGAGAGUUGGCAUAUGGGAUCCAAGGCCCCCGCACAAAAGGGACCAAUUGACGAUAAUGUUCUGUAUCUAUAGCCCGAGCAUAGGUCCGGCGCAGUUUUCAAUGGCGUAGGUGCAGACCUUGAUGUUAGAAGAUGUGACAAAAAAUUCUUUCAACGCCUACGCAAUUUGGAUCCACGAGUGGCGCACUAUAUAGAUCAAGCAGGAUUUUGUGGUGUCCGAGUGACGGGAUAUCUUACUGUAGACCAUGGACUCAUCACAGCUCUCGUCGAGCGCUGGAGACAGGAGACACAUACUUUCCAUCUUCCAGUUAUGGGCGAGUCGACGAUAACUUUGCAAGAUGUAGAAGUGCUAUGGGAUCUACGCGUGGACGGACGUCCCGUUACACUGCAUCACGUUAGGCGAACUGUACAAGAGCGCAAACAUCUGGUGAACGACAUUUUAGGCUUUUGGCCGGAAGAUGCGAUGCUAAAAGGUGGCCGCCUGAAGAUGUCUUCUAUGUACAGACAGUUGAUUACGCUAGCACCGCCGGAUGCUCCUUAUGAACUGGUACGACAGUAUGCUCGCAUGUACAUAUUGAUUUUAUUGGGUGGUCUACUAUUCGCGGAUGCAUGCAGGAAUGUUGUUAGUCUAAACUGGUUAGACUAUGUUCGAGAUUUGGAAGCGAUGGGGAGUACAGUUGGGGGUCAGCGACUCUAGCGUGUUUAUACUCACGUUUGUGUCACGCUUGCCGUGUUUCUACUAUUACCACAUGCGGCCCUUAUCUAUUACUCCAAAUAUGGGCAUGGGAACGGAUUCCCAGCAUUCGACUGGAGAUGUAUCCAGCGCCUGAGACCGGUGAAUUUCCGGUAGUUGGUAGAUGGGCAGCCGAACGUACAGGGGUUGAUCCGCCGGGUAGGCGCAGCAGCUACUAUCGUGAACAUAUUGCAUUGCUACGCAUGGAUGAGUUCAUAUGGAUGUCGUACAGUGAGGAAAUAUUGGCCUCAUUACCACGAUACUGCAGAUACGGCGAGCGCAUUUGGCGUGAUAGAAUUCCCCUCGUAUUUUGGCACAUCAUUGAGUUUCACUGUUCAGAUCAGGUCAUGCGGCAGUUUGGACUAGUGCAAAACGUCCCCGAACCUGUUAACACAAAUCCGCAAGGGAUUCAUCAGCUCGAUUUGUCAGGCUAUCCUGGAAGGAAUUGGGCCCAAUUUCAUAGUGCGUGGAUACAAUAUUGGAAUGCUCGUGCAAAUGCGGAGGUCACAGGUCAACUUGCUGAUACAUUCAGACCAUCAAAUGAUUAUCUCAAAUGGUAUCACGAGCACACUAUUCUAUAUAUUUCGAACCCUAGUGACCAGAAUUCGGAGAUGGGCCAAAUGCUUCAGGAAGUCUCUGGGUAAAUUGAAUAUCUGAUGGGUGCUAUGUAGCGUAUUGGUCAGCAGACACAGGAUGUUAUCAAUAUUGAUGAUAUCGGAGAAAGAGCACAUCCACGUCUCUGGACCAUCAUGGAUGGUGCAUAUGGUUCGAUGCAGUAUCUCAGACCGUUUGAUCGUAUGGU